CGUUUGGAAUACUUGGAGCCCUGUUCGGUUUUGCAGUUUUAGUCCUGCCAGUGAUGCAUGUUGUCAGUAAAAGAUUGACGAAGGAUAGAGCUUACAUAGCAAUAAGCAUAGUAAACUUCGUCACGGCGUUAUGCAUCCUGAUCUCCGUGAGCGUCUUUGCGGGUAAUCUUGAACGCUUCUUCGACAAAUCGUGGUCAUUUGCAAUGUGUGUCGUUGGCCUGGUACUCCACGGAGUCGGAGGAAUCCUAAUGGCUGUCGCAAGAUAUAUCAUGCCAACUUCGAACGUCGCCGCCACCGCUACCAAUACCACUAUCAACAACAGCAACAUGGCCUGAACGCACCAAGGCACCACUACCUGAAAUUAUCAACGAUCGUUAACAAGAAGACACGGUAUGGAACCAGCCAUAGAUACGCCUGAACUUGGUUCAAUUUCGCUGGAUAAAUUUUCCGGUAGAAAUCGCGAUUCACGUGACUGUCUAGAUUCGGCAACAAUUAUCAGAUAUGUGAUGUUCAAGAUGGCCUCCCCUCAUUUUGUCUUGUUGGAGCGGAUACAUGGUGUGGUUCAACGGUUUACCAGACGCCACAGAAACAAAUGAAGAAAGACUAAACGAAGCUUGCAAAACUAGAUUAUCACAAAAGUACAUAUUCAUAUGACAUUUCAGUAUUUGAAAUAUUCCCAAACCCAAACAAAAGUAUUAUAUAGUAUAUCACUAUGUUUGAAAGAGUAGCAAAGAACUGAAAUCAAAGGGAAAUGCUUAACCAGGUUAGCUUUAACAACGGCGGAAACGCAAAGUUUAAUGUGAUCUUAUUUAAUAUUCAUGACCAUUUCUUCCUGUUAGAAAUUGCAGAUUUUUGUAAAUAUUGCUUGUUCUUAUCUAUUUUUUUCUCUUUCUUUCUUUGACGUUUCUCAGAUUUCAGAAGAUAGAAAUUAGUUUGGAUUGGAUAGAAAGUCUACUGUAACCAUAUCAAUUAUGUUGUCUUACGCAUACUAUAUACAUAUAUAUAUAUAUAUUAACUAUUCUGAUUUCAAAUGUUAUUUUUGUAUCCUGAAGUCAUUAUGAUUUCCCUCCCGAAAAACAAGUAAGAAUAUCUGUUUGUGAAAUAUCUUGAGAAUAAUUCGGAGUUUUAUUUUGCCCAAAGGAGACUCUGUUGAUUAACAAUUAUACCAAUCAUGAAAUUAAUCGAUAGUCUUCGAUGUAAACACGGCAACAUGAGAUGGGUAGGUUAUAUAUGCAGUAAUCAUACCUAUAUAGGCAAUGUGUAUCCUUACUAUUAAUUAAGAUAAUGCAAAAAUAUGCAGUAAAUCGACCAACACUUUUUUCAGAAAAUGCUGCCAAAUAUAUCGGUAUGAAUCCUACGACGAUAUAUUAAAUCCCCAUACGUUGUUUUAUUCAAACAUUUUGACGUUCUCGUAGCCCGAGUUUCCAUUGACCUUGACACCAUACAGGACAUGGUGGCAUAGCCAGAGGAAAUUCGGGCUGACAUUUUCGGCGAAGUUAAGAUGCGAGAUUACGACGGGUUUAUCAUUCAGCAGUAAAUCAUCUUGUUCUUCGUAUCUGUUUUAAUUUUUUUAAGGAUAUAACAGUCAAUUUACUGCUAAUUUUUUUUUGUACAUGUAUGUAUGUUUAUCUACAAAAGUUUUUCUAUGUGUGUUUUCAUGUUAUUAUACUAAAAAAAAAAAUUUUUUUUUUAAACAAAUAUUUAACUAAUGAUUAUAUAAUGAAAGCAUGGGAUCUUUGUACUCAAAAUUAAAAUCAUAUCUUAUAAUCGUAUAACGAAUAUCAAAAUAUCAGAUUUGAAAACCAUUUAUAUUACAUCGUUUCAUAUAGAACUUCAUUAAUAAAACGUUCUUGUCAUUCGAAGACUGAUUAACAGUUUUUUGUCAAAUAUAAGUCAUGUUCUACCACAUCAACUGUUGAUGUGAUGAUGAAUGACACUGUAUCAUUUAUGACUUUGUAAUUUUCGUAAUCUGCUGUAUUAUUUUCUAAACUGUAUAAAUUCGCCAAUAAAC
Molecule: long non-coding RNA, 2011 nt
Organism: Pecten maximus
Lineage: Eukaryota; Metazoa; Mollusca; Bivalvia; Pectinida; Pectinidae
Exons: 3
Source: RefSeq, a predicted model, not a curated record